AACACAGUGCAAAAAGGGGUGGAACUACAUUAUCUAACUAGUGGUGGGAAUUCCUUUUGACUAGCUAACUACUUUUUUUCAUUGGACCUAACUACCACCAUCCUCCGCAGGUUUGGGUUGCUGCCUCUCAGCAUGUCCAACGUGCGCAAAUCAAAGUCGGCCUCCAGGAGCUCAGAUGCUCAUCACCAGAUGCAGGCACCUCCGUCCUCCACAGCAAACAUUGAGGACAGCUUCCGGCCGGGCAGCCUAUUCAGACAGCUUGCUGAUCAGGACGAGGACACAGCCACUCCAUCUUUAUUCAAACUCAGCUGGCUGUCUGGCAUGGCCAAAUAACCCUUUAUUGCUCCAGACUUUAUUUGCCUUCGCAAAACUUUGUAAAAGUACUCUGUAUAGUAAAUAUAAUUUUGUCUUUUGAA
Long non-coding RNA from Morone saxatilis (striped sea-bass), 416 nucleotides. RefSeq lists it as uncharacterized. NCBI's taxonomy places the organism in Eukaryota, Metazoa, Chordata, Actinopteri, Moronidae. The transcript is spliced from 2 exons. The record is from RefSeq and is a predicted model, not a curated record.